ACGGAAGGCAGCAGUGAGGAAUAUUGGUCAAUGGACGGAAGUCUGAACCAGCCAAGUCGCGUGAGGGAUGAAGGCCCUACGGGUUGUAAACCUCUUUUGCCGGGGGAUAAACCUGACCACGCGUGGUCAGCUGAAGGUACCCGGUGAAUAAGCAUCGGCUAACUCCGUGCCAGCAGCCGCGGUAAUACGGAGGAUGCGAGCGUUAUCCGGAUUUAUUGGGUUUAAAGGGUGCGUAGGCUGUGCGACAAGUCAGGGGUGAAAGCCCGCCGCCCAACGGUGGAACUGCCUUUGAUACUGUCGCGCUGGAAUACGGAUGCCGUGGGAGGAAUGAGUAGUGUAGCGGUGAAAUGCAUAGAUAUUACUCAGAACACCGAUUGCGAAGGCAUCUCACGAAUCCGUCAUUGACGCUGAGGCACGAAAGCGUGGGGAUCAAACAGGAUUAGAUACCCUGGUA
RNAcentral lists this ribosomal RNA (454 nucleotides) under uncultured Anaerophaga sp. RNAcentral's name for it is "partial 16S ribosomal RNA". It matches the Rfam family "Bacterial small subunit ribosomal RNA", at positions 341 to 792 of the family's 1533-position model. Lineage: Bacteria; Pseudomonadati; Bacteroidota; Bacteroidia; Marinilabiliales; Marinilabiliaceae. The record is from RNAcentral.